Long non-coding RNA from Protopterus annectens (West African lungfish), 469 nucleotides. RefSeq lists it as uncharacterized. The transcript has 2 exons. The record is from RefSeq and is a predicted model, not a curated record. NCBI's taxonomy places the organism in Eukaryota, Metazoa, Chordata, Ceratodontiformes, Protopteridae.
UCAUUUGUUUGAAGUGCCAGAUGGAUUGGGGGAGUGCCUGGUGGUUUGGGGGACAGUAAAAGGAGUUCAUGAGUACAAAAUGGAAUUUUCUGCUUACAUCCCUGCUGUGCACAGUAAGAUGUAUGAAACUCCAGUGCUGGCGUUAUUGAUUUCACUGCAAUCAUCGGUGAUUUACCAGAAAAUUAUUUAUUUUAAAAGGGACAGGGCCGAAAUAUGAUACCAAAUCUGGGCCGUUCUGAAACAUAUGGAGACUUAAGAGAUCAGGCUUUCAAGAAGAUUGUACAUAACUCGUUUCAAUGAAACAACCAGAAUAAACAUGGUAUUAUAAGACUUGAUCGUACAGUGAUCGAUGAAUGACAAACAUUCGCUGGCUGAAGACACAGACAAUAUUAUGAAAGUUUUGUUUAUAUCCCUAGUAGGCAAGAGUUUAACUUUGAAUGAAUAUUAAAUAAAGUUACAUUUUAUUUUG